CGGCUUCUAGUGAAGGCUGACCGAUUGUGGAAGUGGAAGGUUGGCUGGCCGGGCUUCUACUUGUUCUUCAGUCGCUAAGUCGUGUCUGACUCUUUGUGAUACCAUGAACUGCAGCACGCCAGGCUCCUCUAUCCUCCGCGAUCUCCUGGAGUUUGUUCAGUUGAAUCCUCCAGUGAAAACUCAGGAGGAGAGAAUACAGAAUAAGAACAGCAGAAGGUCCAUUGCAGCACCUAUUAGGCAAAUAGAAUGGGCUCUAUCCUUUCAUCCCAGAGGGAGAAGACCUGGCAGUGUUUCCCAUCUAUUUAAACGCCUAGAACUCAGUCACACAGCUACCCCCAGGACUGGAAGACCAUCAGACAUACUGUUAACCAAGCGUUUGGAUUCCAUUCUUUUUCCAGUACUGUAUUAAAAUUACAGGUAACUUGGCAAAUAUGCUUUCAUCCAGCAGCAGAGAUUUGUUAUUUAAUCUGGUUUAAAACUUAAAAUAACUCUAACUAGUAAGCUAAAACUUAAAAUUAUUGUGGUAUCCAAGGUAGUGGAUCUCAAUCUUGGCUACACAUCAGAAUCACCUGUGGAUUAAAAAAAAAAAAACCCAACAACAGUAAUUCUGAGUUAAUUAGUCUGAGGUGGGACCUGGCCACUGAGAAUUUGGAAAGUUCCCCCAGAUCACACUAAGGUGUGGCUAAAAUUGAGCUGCUUAUUUAGGGAAUGGAGUUCAAGUUGGUGAUUUGAUUUGAUUUUCCAGUUAAAUGAGGAUUAAACCCUGUAACCUUCUGGUUCCUCUUUUUGUGGUCAGCAGAAUUAGAGAAUUAAAUGUAAAGUGCACUUGUUUCUCUAAGUAGAAUGUCUUAGAUAUAACUGUAUCUCUCUUAUUGCUUGAGACUUCCUGCAGUGAGUUAACAUCAUUACAUAUUGAAAACGGUUUAAAUUUGAACUAUAAGCUUUCAAAUGUAUUCUGGAAAAAGUUCGCUUUUUUUUUUUUUUUCCAAUUUGUUACUAUUUUGUGCAAUUUUCCUCUUUUUCAUAAAAAUAAAGUGUUAGGUGUCAGUUCCCACACAUCUCCCCUCCCUCCAAAUCAGUUCUUUAAAGUUUUAACUAAUGGAUUUUUAACUAACGAUGUUCUUUUUGUGUUUCCCAAUGCAUAAGCAGGGAUAAAGGGCAUGUUAUUGAUGUAAAACAUAAGUGGGACUUUGGCAACGAUUGGGUUUUAUUUUCAGGACCUAUUAGAAUCAUAAAUCCAUGGAAACGGAGCAGUUGGCAACACAUUUUCCUUUAGUAAAAAAGAACUGCUUCUGAGUAGAGUGGAUUAUGUCUUUCAAUACACAUUUGCUAAAAAGUGCACAAAUAUAAACAUUAAUUGUGCAUUCUGAAUUUCCAGUUACUGUGUAGUAGACAUAAAAUUGACCUUGUCCUAGUUUUACUUUCUUUGAUGACAUUCUUAAGAGCCACAGAAAAAUCAGAUCAAUAAGAUGGUGGCUCAGUUGGUAGAGAAUCCACCUGCAAUGCAGGAGACCACCUGCAAUUCAGGAGACCCAGAUUCAACCCCUGGGUCGGGAAGAUCCCCUGGAGAAAGGAAUGGCAACCCACUCCAGUUUUCUUGCCUGAGAAAUCCCAUGGACGGAAGAGCCUGGCGGGCUACACUCCAUGGGGUCGCAAGAGUUGGACAUGACUUAGUGACCAAACCACCAGCACCACCAAACAUAAAAUUGACCUUGUCCUAAUUAUACUUUGUUUGGUGACACUCUUAAGAGCCACAGAAAUAUCAGAUCAAUAAGAUGAAAAUGUAUCUGAUUGUAGUAUAAAAUACCACUUUUAAUGAAAGAUCAUAUCAAAGAUUAGUAUCACUUAAAGCCCAUGAGUCAUACUUAACACUGCACUAUCAUAGAACAUAACUCCUCAAGCAACGGGUACCAGGUUUUAGCAAGGAUGGGAACAAUGAACAUGUGUUUGGUUUAACUUUUUGCUGAACUUUUGUUUUCAGGCUUUAUGGAAGGUAUUUCCUCUGCAAAUUAGUGACUGGUUUUGACUUGUGAUUUCCUUGAUUUCCGAGCAAGCUCAUUAAUAAAUGAAUCAUUUUAUAACUAUUUCUCCCAUUUUACUUUUAAAAACUAUAGAAAUGUUAAGUCAGUACUUAACAAUGAUGUCUAGCUCUAUAUACCUACUCAGUUUUCCUCCUUAUUUCAAGAUGGAAAAAAGAUUAACCAAUAACCUAAACCCAUUAGGUCACUUUGAAUUUUCCAACAGAUGCCAAGAUAGAAUUAGAAGGCCAAGACAUGUAUUGGGGGUGGGAAGCCUAUGAAAGACAAGGAGAGAGAGAACAGGAUUAAGUCAGAAGCCUCAGGCCACAAUACUGAUCAAAUCCUGAUCUAAAGGGACUGAUGAACAGGAGAAAGGUGUGGUAAAAAGAUCUUUUGAUUGAAGGUUCUGAGACUCUGGUAAUCAUACCCUUGUAAGGUGAAGACUACUACAGAGAUCCUUUUGCAGUGACCAUGGGGGCUAAGAAGUACUGAGAGGCGCCUGAGUGGAUCACCUGGGCCCUACAGUGAUCGCACACAUCCCUGAUGUAGAAAAGCAGCCUUACCUCUUCC
Long non-coding RNA from Cervus elaphus (red deer), 2588 nucleotides. RefSeq lists it as uncharacterized. The record is from RefSeq and is a predicted model, not a curated record. The transcript is spliced from 3 exons. NCBI's taxonomy places the organism in Eukaryota, Metazoa, Chordata, Mammalia, Artiodactyla, Cervidae.